This 229-nucleotide ribosomal RNA is filed under the name uncultured bacterium. RNAcentral's name for it is "partial 16S ribosomal RNA". It matches the Rfam family "Bacterial small subunit ribosomal RNA", at positions 15 to 235 of the family's 1533-position model. The record is from RNAcentral.
GAUCCUGGGCCAGGAUGAACGCUAGCUACAGGCUUAACACAUGCAAGUCGAGGGGCAGCAUGGUCUUAGCUUGCUAAGGCCGAUGGCGACCGGCGCACGGGUGAGUAACGCGUAUCCAACCUGCCGUCUACUCUUGGACAGCCUUCUGAAAGGAAGAUUAAUACAAGAUGGCAUCAUGAGUCCGCAUGUUCACAUGAUUAAAGGUAUUCCGGUAGACGAUGGGGAUGCG